Molecule: ribosomal RNA, 478 nt
Filed under: uncultured bacterium
Lineage: Bacteria
Description: partial 16S ribosomal RNA
Rfam family: Bacterial small subunit ribosomal RNA
Source: RNAcentral
GAUGAACGCUGGCGGCGUGCUUAACACAUGCAAGUCGAACGAGAAGUGGAGACGGAAACCUUCGGGCGGAAGACUUUAUUUCGAGUGGCGGACGGGUGAGUAACGCGUGGGUAACCUGCCUCAUACAGGGGGAUAACAGUUGGAAACGACUGUUAAUACCGCAUAAGACCACAGCACCGCAUGGUGCGGGGGUAAAAACUCCGGUGGUAUGAGAUGGACCCGCGUUCGAUUAGCCAGUUGGCGGGGUAACGGCCCACCAAAGCGACGAUCGCUAGCCGAUCUGAGAGGAUGACCGGCCACAUUGGGACUGAGACACGGCCCAAACUCCUACGGGAGGCAGCAGUGGGGAAUAUUGCACAAUGGGGGAAACCCUGAUGCAGCGACGCCGCGUGAGUGAAGAAGUAUUUCGGUAUGUAAAGCUCUAUCAGCAGGGAAGAAAAUGACGGUACCUGAGGAAGAAGCCCCGGCUAACUACGUG